This 253-nucleotide ribosomal RNA is filed under the name uncultured bacterium. RNAcentral's name for it is "partial 16S ribosomal RNA". It matches the Rfam family "Bacterial small subunit ribosomal RNA", at positions 524 to 776 of the family's 1533-position model. The record is from RNAcentral.
UACAGAGGUCUCAAGCGUUGUUCGGAUUCAUUGGGCGUAAAGGGUGUGUAGGUGGCGCCGUAAGUCGGGUGUGAAAUCUCGGGGCUUAACUCCGAAACUGCAUUCGAUACUGCGGUGCUUGAGGACUGGAGAGGAGACUGGAAUUUACGGUGUAGCAGUGAAAUGCGUAGAGAUCAUGAGGAAGACCAGUGGCGAAGGCGGGUCUCUGGACAGUUCCUGACACUGAGGCACGAAGGCCAGGGGAGCAAACGGG